This 253-nucleotide ribosomal RNA is filed under the name uncultured bacterium. RNAcentral describes it as "partial 16S ribosomal RNA". It matches the Rfam family "Bacterial small subunit ribosomal RNA", at positions 524 to 776 of the family's 1533-position model. The record is from RNAcentral.
UACGAAGGGGGCUAGCGUUAAUCGGAAUUACUGGGCGUAAAGCGCGCGUAGGCGGCUGUGCAAGUCGGGUGUGAAAUCCCCAGGCUUAACCUGGGAACUGCAUUCGAGACUGCAUUGCUAGAGUAUGGGAGAGGGAAGUGGAAUUUCCGGUGUAGCGGUGAAAUGCGUAGAUAUCGGAAGGAACAUCAGUGGCGAAAGCGACUUCCUGGACCAAUACUGACGCUCAUGUGCGAAAGCGUGGGGAGCAAACAGG